RNAcentral lists this RNase P RNA (277 nucleotides) under Mycoplasma sp. Mirounga ES2805-ORL. Its description in RNAcentral is "Bacterial RNase P class B". It matches the Rfam family "Bacterial RNase P class B". From Rfam's summary of the family: Ribonuclease P (RNase P) is a ubiquitous endoribonuclease, found in archaea, bacteria and eukarya as well as chloroplasts and mitochondria. Its best characterised activity is the generation of mature 5'-ends of tRNAs by cleaving the 5'-leader elements of precursor-tRNAs. Lineage: Bacteria; Bacillati; Mycoplasmatota; Mollicutes; Mycoplasmatales; Mycoplasmataceae. The record is from Rfam by way of RNAcentral.
AGCAUUGGCCAACAGCUGCUUUUAUUUUAAAAGUAGAGGAAAGUCCACGCUAGCACAACCUGCGAUGGUUGUAGUGUUCAUGCUAGAUCCAAUAAAUCUAGGCUUAGACGACAAGUGCCACAGAGACGAGAAUUGUGAAACGCGGUAAACUCCAUGAGCUAGAAACCCAAAUUUUGGUAGGGGAAUUUUUCUAUAAGAAUUGAAUUUAUGAAAAAAAUCACUAAGUGAUUAGAUAAAUUGUUGGCGCCUGAAAAGGUACAAAACGUGGCUUAUAGAU